This 886-nucleotide ribosomal RNA is filed under the name Melanconis apocrypta. RNAcentral's name for it is "LSU rRNA". It matches the Rfam family "Eukaryotic large subunit ribosomal RNA", at positions 38 to 957 of the family's 3401-position model. Lineage: Eukaryota; Fungi; Ascomycota; Sordariomycetes; Diaporthales; Melanconidaceae. The record is from RNAcentral.
GCAUAUCAAUAAGCGGAGGAAAAGAAACCAACAGGGAUUGCCCUAGUAACGGCGAGUGAAGCGGCAACAGCUCAAAUUUGAAAUCUGGCUUCGGCCCGAGUUGUAAUUUGCAGAGGAUGUUUUUGGCGCGGUGCCUUCCGAGUUCCCUGGAACGGGACGCCACAGAGGGUGAGAGCCCCGUAUGGUUGGACACCAAGCCUGUGUAAAACUCCUUCGACGAGUCGAGUAGUUUGGGAAUGCUGCUCUAAAUGGGAGGUAAAUCUCUUCUAAAGCUAAAUACCGGCCAGAGACCGAUAGCGCACAAGUAGAGUGAUCGAAAGAUGAAAAGCACCUUGAAAAGGGGGUUAAACAGUACGUGAAAUUGUUGAAAGGGAAGCGCUCAUGACCAGACUUGUGCCGUGCGGCUCACCCGGGGUUCUCCCCGGCGCACUCCGCACGGCUCAGGCCAGCAUCGGUUCUUGUUGGGGGAUAAGAACAGUAGGAACGUGGCCCCUCUCGGGGGGUGUUAUAGCCUAUUGUACGAUACUCUGACGGGGACCGAGGACCGCGCUUCGGCAAGGAUGCUGGCAUAAUGGUCAUCAGCGACCCGUCUUGAAACACGGACCAAGGAGUCGUCCAUUAGAGCGAGCGUUUGGGUGUAAAACCCGCACGCGUAAUGAAAGUGAAAUUAGGUGAGAGCUUCGGCGCAUCAUCGACCGAUCCUGAUGUUCUCGGAUGGAUUUGAGUAAGAGUUUUAACGGACGGACCCGAAAGACAGUGAACUAUGCUUGUAUAGGGUGAAGCCAGAGGAAACUCUGGUGGAGGCUCGCAGCGGUUCUGACGUGCAAAUCGAUCGUCAAUAUGAGCAUGGGGCGAAAGACUAAUCGAACUGUCUAGUAGCUGGGUA